UGGUCCUAGCCUUGAAAUUAAUUUUUACUUAAUAUACACAUGCAAGUCUCCGCACCCCUGUGAAAACGCCCUUAAUCCCCGCUAGGGAAAAGGAGCCGGUAUCAGGCACGAAAAUCUGCCCAAAACACCUAGCUACGCCACACCCACAAGGGAACUCAGCAGUGAUUAACAUUUAAUAUAAGCGACAGCUUGAUUCAGUUAAAGUAAAAAGAGCCGGCUAAUCUGGUGCCAGCCGCCGCGGUUACACCAUGGGGCUCAAAUUAAUUUCUAUCGGCGUAAAGCGUGAUUAAAGUUUUUUAAAAAUUUGGAGUUAAAUUAAAACUAAGCUGUGACACGCUUGUGAUUAAGAAACCCGAGACGAAAGUUACCCCAAUUAUACCAACUUGAACUCACGACAGCUAGAAUACAAACUGGGAUUAGAUACCCCACUAUGCCUAGCCGUAAACUUUAAAUUACAACCACAUCGCCCGAGAACUACGAGCAAAGCUUAAAACUCAAAGGACUUGACGGUACCCCAUAUCCCCCUAGAGGAGCCUGUCCUAUAAUUGAUAACCCCCGUUUAACCUCACCAUUUUUAGCAAAUCAGUCUGUAUACCUCCGUCGUCAGCUUACCACGUGAGCGAAACUUAGUGAGCUUAAUGCUAUUACACCAAUACGUCAGGUCAAGGUGCAGCAAAUGAAAUGGAAAGAGAUGGGCUACACUUUCUAACAUAGAAUACACGAAAGACUAUUUAUGAAACCUAGUCGGAAGGCGGAUUUAGCAGUAAAAAGAAAUCAGAACACUCUUUUUAACACGGCACUGGGGUGUGUACACACCGCCCGUCACCCUCUUCACAAGCCAUAAAUAGUAUUUAACUAAUUGACGCAUCAUAGAAGAGGCAAGUCGUAACAUGGUAAGUAUACCGGAAGGUGUGCUUGGAAA
RNAcentral lists this non-coding RNA (922 nucleotides) under Eupsophus vertebralis (Valdivia ground frog). Its description in RNAcentral is "partial 12S ribosomal RNA". It matches the Rfam family "Bacterial small subunit ribosomal RNA". The record is from RNAcentral. Lineage: Eukaryota; Metazoa; Chordata; Amphibia; Anura; Alsodidae.